Long non-coding RNA from Pteropus alecto (black flying fox), 395 nucleotides. RefSeq lists it as uncharacterized. Lineage: Eukaryota; Metazoa; Chordata; Mammalia; Chiroptera; Pteropodidae. The transcript has 3 exons. The record is from RefSeq and is a predicted model, not a curated record.
GUCCGGCACUCCAGACGUUGAACGAGGUCACUGACGCCCCACUCUCCUCCUUGUCUUAGUAAAGUGCCAAAUCUUUACGUUUAAGAGGGAAUAUGGGGUCUUCUCUGGUCAUGCUUUCUCAGAUUCUCUUCAAACAACACCUCUCCACCGCUCCCCAAGCUGUUUCCAUGCUUCAACACAUACCAAGAAUUUUAUCAGUUCCCAUCAAUAUCCCUUCUGGGAGUUCCCAAAGAGCAUCUCACCUGGGUUCAUCAAAAAGUUCAGGACCACCAUGGGCUGCCACCCCUGUCUUCUUCUGCCUCUCCCUCUUCAGUGAUGUCAACUGCCCUGGCCUUCACUACUUAUGCAGCUGGAUGAAGAUGUCUCAAGGCUUCCUCCAGUGUUCCCAGUCAACC